This 441-nucleotide ribosomal RNA is filed under the name uncultured bacterium. RNAcentral describes it as "bacterial SSU rRNA". It matches the Rfam family "Bacterial small subunit ribosomal RNA", at positions 958 to 1400 of the family's 1533-position model. The record is from RNAcentral.
AACGCGAAGAACCUUACCUGGGUUUGACAUCCUUUGAAUACAGUAGAGAUAUUGUAGGCUCGCAAGAGACAAAGAGACAGGUGCUGCAUGGCUGUCGUCAGCUCGUGUUGUGAAAUGUUGGGUUAAGUCCCGCAACGAGCGCAACCCCUGCCUUUGGUUGCCAUCAUUUAAGGUGGGCACUCCAGAGGGACUGCCGUCGUCAAGACGGAGGAAGGUGGGGAUGACGUCAAGUCCUCAUGGCCUUUAUAUCCAGGGCGACACACGUGAUACAAUGGUAGGUACAAAGGGCAGCGAAGUGGUGACACGAAGCCAAUCCCAAAAAGCCUAUCUCAGUUCGGAUUGGAGUCUGCAACUCGACUCCAUGAAGUUGGAAUUGCUAGUAAUCGCGGAUCAGCACGCCGCGGUGAAUACGUUCCCGGGCCUUGUACACACCGUAGAGAC